GACGAACGCUGGCGGCGUGCUUAACACAUGCAAGUCGAACGGAAAGGCCCUGCUUUUGUGGGGUGCUCGAGUGGCGAACGGGGGAGUAACACGUGAGUAACCUGCCCUUGACUUUGGGAUAACUUCAGGAAACUGGGGCUAAUACCCGAUAGGAGCUCCUGCUGCAUGGGGGGGGUUGGAAAGUUUCGGCGGUUGGGGAUGGACUCGCGGCUUAUCAGCUUGUUGGUGGGGUAGUGGCUUACCAAGGCUUUGACGGGUAGCCGGCCUGAGAGGGUGAACGGCCACAAUGGGACUGCGAUACGGCCCAGACGCCAACGGGAGGCAGCAGUGGGGAAUAUUGCACAAUGGGCGGAAGCCUGAUGCAGCAACGCCGCGUGCGGGAAGACGGCCUUCGGGUUGUAAACCGCUUUCGCAUGUAACGAAGCGUGCGUGACGGUAAUGGGUAAAGAAGCACCGGCUAACUACGUG
RNAcentral lists this ribosomal RNA (468 nucleotides) under uncultured bacterium. RNAcentral's name for it is "partial 16S ribosomal RNA". It matches the Rfam family "Bacterial small subunit ribosomal RNA", at positions 28 to 507 of the family's 1533-position model. The record is from RNAcentral.